CCUACGGGUGGCAGCAGUGGGGAAUAUUGCACAAUGGAGGGAACUCUGCAGCAGCGACGCCGCGUGAGUGAAGAAGUAAUUCGUUAUGUAAAGCUCUAUCAGCAGGGAAGAAAGUGACGGUACCUGACAAAGAAGCUCCGGCUAAAUACGUGCCAGCAGCCGCGGUAACACGUAAGGAACACGCGUUAUCCGGAUUUACUGGGUGUAAAGGGAGAGUAGGUGGCAGAUCAAGUCCGAAGUAAACAGCCAAAGCUCAACUAUGGAAAUGCCGUAGAGACUGGGCAGCUUGAGUGCAGGAGAGGCAAGUGGAAUUCGUAGGGUAGCGGUGAAAUGCGUAGAUAUUAGGAGGAACACCGGUGGCGAAGGCAGCUUGCUAGACUGUAACUGACGCUGAUGCUCGAAAGCGUGGGGAGCAAACAGGAUUAGAUACCCGAGUAGUC
This 440-nucleotide ribosomal RNA is filed under the name uncultured bacterium. RNAcentral describes it as "partial 16S ribosomal RNA". It matches the Rfam family "Bacterial small subunit ribosomal RNA", at positions 338 to 795 of the family's 1533-position model. The record is from RNAcentral.